Molecule: transfer RNA, 69 nt
Filed under: Felis catus (domestic cat)
Lineage: Eukaryota; Metazoa; Chordata; Mammalia; Carnivora; Felidae
Description: tRNA-OTHER
Source: RNAcentral
GGUUGGCUCAGUAGGUAGAACAUGUAACUCUUGAUCUUGGGAUUGUGAGUUUGAAGCCCAUGUUGGGUG